CCCUUAGAUGUCCUGGGCUGCACGCGCGCUACACUGAUGUGUCCAGUAAGCACCUAACCUCUUCCGAAAGGAACGGGUAACCUUUGCAAAGCACAUCGUGAUGGGGAUAGAUUAUUGCAAUUAUUAGUCUUGAACGAGGAAUUCCUAGUAAGCACAAGUCAUCAGCUUGUGUUGAUUACGUCCCUGCCCUUUGUACACACCGCCCGUCGCUCCUACCGAUUGAAUGUUCCGGUGAGCUCUUCGGACUGCGCGGUCUGCAGUUUCUGCGUUCCGUGCGGAAAGUUGCGCAAACCUUAACAUUUAGCGGAAGGAGAAGUCGUAACA
RNAcentral lists this ribosomal RNA (324 nucleotides) under uncultured eukaryote. Its description in RNAcentral is "partial 18S ribosomal RNA". It matches the Rfam family "Eukaryotic small subunit ribosomal RNA", at positions 1470 to 1796 of the family's 1831-position model. The record is from RNAcentral.